RNAcentral lists this long non-coding RNA (243 nucleotides) under Setaria viridis. Its description in RNAcentral is "long non-coding RNA (SVIR_LNC008228)". The record is from RNAcentral. Lineage: Eukaryota; Viridiplantae; Streptophyta; Magnoliopsida; Poales; Poaceae.
GAGUGAAGGGAUCGAUGAUUUUCAUCAUGUUCCAUAUCAUAUCAUGGUAAAUGGAAAAAACUUUAGAACAACGCGAUCCAACUCUGCUCCCUGCACCCCAUUUUUUAAUUCUUUUUUAUUUUUGGUCGAAGCUGAUUUUUAACACACAGAAGAACUUUAUAUAUAACAUGACAAGAAAUAGAUAUGAGAAACUAUGUCCUACCAAUGGGUUAUACUAUAUAUGCAGCCAUGUAUCAUCCUUCA